GUUAUAGGGUCAAGCGAACAAGUGCAUGUGGUGGAUGCCUUGGCGAUCACAGGGCGAUGAAGGACGCGGUAGCCUGCGAAAAGCUUCGGGGAGCUGGCAAACAAGCUUUGAUCCGGAGAUGUCCGAAUGGGGAAACCCGGCCCGAAUGGGUCAUCCCUGACUGAAUACAUAGGUUACGGAAGCGAACGCGGCGAACUGAAACAUCUAAGUAGCUGCAGGAACAGAAAUCAACCGAGAUUCCCAGAGUAGUGGCGAACGAAAUGGGAAGAGCCUUGUACUCUUUAGCAGCAUUGUUAGCAGAACGGGAUGGAAAGCCCGGCCAUAGCAGGUGAUAGCCCUGUAUGCGAAAACAGCGUUGUGGAACUAGGUGUACGACAAGUAGGGCGGGACACGUGAAAUCCUGUCUGAAGAUGGGGGGACCAUCCUCCAAGGCUAAAUACUCGUGAUCGACCGAUAGUGAACCAGUACCGUGAGGGAAAGGCGAAAAGAACCCCGGGAGGGGAGUGAAAUAGAUCCUGAAACCGCAUGCAUACAAACAGUCGGAGCCCCGCUUUAAGCGCUUUCGGCGAUUCUCACGACAGUGAGAAUCGUCAAAAGACACCAGUGUGAAAUAGCACCACUGGCGCGCAAAGCGGUUUAAGCGCGAGAGCGCUUAAAGCGGGGUGACGGCGUACCUUUUGUAUAAUGGGUCAGCGACUUACAUUCAGUGGCAAGCUUAACCGAUUAGGGAAGGCGUAGCGAAAGCGAGUCCGAAUAGGGCGUUCAGUCGCUGGGUGUAGACCCGAAA
This 787-nucleotide ribosomal RNA is filed under the name Cupriavidus sp. UYMMa02A. Its description in RNAcentral is "bacterial LSU rRNA". It matches the Rfam family "Bacterial large subunit ribosomal RNA", at positions 1 to 720 of the family's 2925-position model. The record is from RNAcentral. Lineage: Bacteria; Pseudomonadati; Pseudomonadota; Betaproteobacteria; Burkholderiales; Burkholderiaceae.